UAAAAAGUCCUCAUUUCAACCUGAUUGUUCAAAUACACAAGUCUGAAAAUGGCAAAUGGCAGGAUGUAUCUUGUAAAACUGAAGUGAUUGGAAUAUUAACAUAUUUAUAUGCCAUACAACAAAUUACUAUUCAUUGACAUGACAAGUUUACAAGCCCAUUUAGAAGUUGGAGCUUUCUUCCUCUUUCUCCCCAACCCCUGUUUGCAGUAAUUGAACUUGGACUACAACAUUGAAGGAGCAUAUGCUAGAUGAACGAA
This 257-nucleotide unclassified non-coding RNA is filed under the name Hevea brasiliensis (rubber tree). Lineage: Eukaryota; Viridiplantae; Streptophyta; Magnoliopsida; Malpighiales; Euphorbiaceae. The record is from RNAcentral.